AACUUAGGCUUUUAUAAUUUGAUCUCCGCGACUCCCUGGCCUUCAUCCUUUCAUUCUAGCGACAACUAGCUACCCAGUUUGGGUCAAUGGAAGUAAACACGUCAAGAGCAUUCUUUGUAACUUCUAUGUCUCCUACUUUUCACAUCAGCGUUAUAAAGAAGUGAUGCCUGCAUCUGUGACAGCCAUCAUGAGAUAAUGAAGCAACAAACUGAAGGCUAAAAGAAAGCCAGCCUGCCAGAACAGUGGGAUUGAAGGACUGAGAGCCUGGGUAUCUCUGGGGCUCCUAUUCAAGCUCUAUGGAACCACAAAUGAGCUUCUUUAAACAUUUUGCUAAUAAGUAAUGUGUUUCUACGGACAUGUUUCCCUGUCACCCCAACAAAAUAAAUUAUAAUUGACUUGUUCAU
RNAcentral lists this long non-coding RNA (404 nucleotides) under Pan troglodytes (chimpanzee). RNAcentral's name for it is "lncRNA (ENSPTRG00000053230.1)". The record is from RNAcentral. Lineage: Eukaryota; Metazoa; Chordata; Mammalia; Primates; Hominidae.